AAUGGGCGAAAGCCUGACGGAGCAACACUGCGUGGUGGAUGAAGGCCUUCGGGUCGUAAACACCUUUUCUGGGGGAAGAAUUCUGACGGUACCCCAGGAAUAAGCGACGGCUAAUUACGUGCCAGCAGCCGCGGUAAUACGUAAGUCGCAAGCGUUAUCCAGAAUUAUUGGGCGUAAAGCGUCCGUAGGCGGUUUGUUAAGUCUGUGGUUAAAGCCCGGGGCUCAACCCCGGAAUCGUCAUGGAAACUAACAACUUGAGGUGUGCAGGGGCAGAUGGAAUUCCAGAAGUAGGGGAAAUCCGUAGAUCUCUGGAGGAACACCAAACGCGAAGGCAUUCUGCUGGGCACUACCUGACGCUGAGGGACGAAAGCGUGGGGAGCAAACGGGAUU
This 390-nucleotide ribosomal RNA is filed under the name uncultured bacterium. RNAcentral describes it as "bacterial SSU rRNA". It matches the Rfam family "Bacterial small subunit ribosomal RNA", at positions 370 to 779 of the family's 1533-position model. The record is from RNAcentral.